Molecule: long non-coding RNA, 623 nt
Organism: Silurus meridionalis
Lineage: Eukaryota; Metazoa; Chordata; Actinopteri; Siluriformes; Siluridae
Exons: 3
Source: RefSeq, a predicted model, not a curated record
AAUUUAAACAAAGUUCACAGUGCAAAAAGAGAAAACAAGCGAAGAUUUUCCCUUGUGGACACACAGCCAGGAGGACGGCAGUGAUUGGAUAUUAGUAGACCAUUUCUAGAGGAUGUUAAACUUGAUGUUGUUGCAACCUCGAUGGGCAACACCACCCAGGGAAUCUAUGACCUUGUACAUGAAGGAGCAGAUGCUACAGACCCAUAUGAAGAUGUUGGCAUCAUUAAUAAAGGCAUCCAAAUAUUUGAAAACCUGAACAAUGUGGCAAAUGCAUGUUCUGUGAUACUUGGUCUAAUUUAUGCAUUAAACUUGGCUUACCCACAAGAUCUGAGAUACACUUUUGAAGUAUUUCAAAAGAUAUUUAUGGAACUAAAUGCAAACAAGCAUUCAAACAAGGUCCAUACAUACAUACUGUAUGUUUUCUCCAUAAAGUUGUGCUGUUUGCUGUAGCAGUACAUUUGUUUCAGUACUGAUCAUGUUCAUUCCUUGAAUAACUGAUGCAUUGUCAGCUUUUUCCAGUUUCAAAGAAAAAGGAGAUAUUAAAAAAUAGUUUAUUAUUAUUUGUUUGUAUUAUUAUUUUGUAAAUGCUUAUAGUUUUAUUAGUAUUUUUGUAAUAAGUAAAA